Gopherus flavomarginatus (Mexican gopher tortoise) is the source of this 266-nucleotide long non-coding RNA. RefSeq lists it as uncharacterized. NCBI's taxonomy places the organism in Eukaryota, Metazoa, Chordata, Testudines, Testudinidae. The transcript has 2 exons. The record is from RefSeq and is a predicted model, not a curated record.
CUGAGCUUUGGAGAAGUAGUUUCUACUUUCUAGUCUUCUGUUUCUAAUGUAAGGACAAAGAGAUCAGAUAGUAAGUUAUAUGGUUUCUUUUCUUUGGUAUUUGCAUGAAUAUAAGUGCUGGAGUGCUUUGAUUUGUAUUCUUUUUGAAUAAGGCUGUUUAUUCAAUAUUCUUUUAAGCAAUUGACCCUGUAUUUUGUCACCUUAAUACAGAGAGACCAUUUGUAUGUAUUUUUCCUUUCUUUUUUAUAUAAAGCUUUCUUUUAAGA